This 253-nucleotide ribosomal RNA is filed under the name uncultured bacterium. RNAcentral's name for it is "partial 16S ribosomal RNA". It matches the Rfam family "Bacterial small subunit ribosomal RNA", at positions 524 to 776 of the family's 1533-position model. The record is from RNAcentral.
UACGUAGGGGGCAAGCGUUGUCCGGAUUUAUUGGGCGUAAAGAGCGUGUAGGCGGCCGUACAGGUCAGCUGUGAAAACUCGAGGCUCAACCUCGAGACGUCGGUUGAAACCGUACGGCUAGAGUCCGGAAGAGGAGAGUGGAAUUCCCGGUGUAGCGGUGAAAUGCGCAGAUAUCAGGAGGAACACCGGUGGCGAAGGCGGAUCUCUGGGCCAUUACUGACGCUGAGGAGCGAAAGCGUGGGGAGCGAACAGG